AGAGUUUGAUCCUGGCUCAGGACGAACGCUGGCGGCGUGCUUAAUACAUGCAAGUCGAGCGGGCACCAUUUGGUGGCAACACCUUUGAAGUGCGAGCGGCGAACGGGUGAGUAACACGUGAGCAACCUGCCCCCAAGUCUGGGAUAAGCCUGGGAAACUGGGUCUAAUACCGGAUGCCCUCGUCGGGCCGCAUGACACGA
RNAcentral lists this ribosomal RNA (200 nucleotides) under uncultured bacterium. RNAcentral's name for it is "partial 16S ribosomal RNA". It matches the Rfam family "Bacterial small subunit ribosomal RNA", at positions 8 to 197 of the family's 1533-position model. The record is from RNAcentral.